This is a long non-coding RNA of Triticum aestivum (bread wheat), 3913 nucleotides long. RefSeq lists it as uncharacterized. Lineage: Eukaryota; Viridiplantae; Streptophyta; Magnoliopsida; Poales; Poaceae. The record is from RefSeq and is a predicted model, not a curated record. The transcript is spliced from 6 exons.
ACCGGUACCGACCGCAAAAACACACACACCCAACCCACCCACCUCCCUCUUGAUCCCCACUCCUCUUCCACUGCGCCGCCUCCUUCCUCCACCUGCCGGCGACUCGCCGCGCCCAACUCCCGCCGCAACGGCCGCACCCACCUCCCGCCCCGACGGCCGCCCCCACCUCCCGCCCUGAUGGCCGCGCCCACCUCCCGCCACGACGGCCGCCCCCAACCUUCUGCCGCGGCUGGCGCCCCUCCCCAGAUCCCGCCACAGCCCCAAAAACCAGCCGGCGCCGCCGCUGUCAUCCUGCACUAGAUCGACCCGCCGCUAUCGCUCCGCUGUCGCGUACAGGCAAUUCAACGCCUCAACCCCAGGCCGUUCAAUGCCUUGCCGACCGCCGGCUCCCCCAUGGACGCCUAGCUCCUGCACUAAAACCACUGUGGCCCAGGGAUUCACCCGCCCCAACCCACUGGCCCGGUUACGAAUGCCACGCGCUCCCUCCAGUGACCAGCCCCGCGUCGCGCAUGCCCCUCCGAUGACCGGAGACCUGCCACGCGCCCCGCACUCCAGCCGCGGCCAGCUCCCUCCUGUGCUGCUCGGUUGCUUGAAUAGACGUGUAGCAGUUCAAAACAUGCAGGCCUCUGCCCCUCCGAAAUGCCCAGUUCCCCUUCGUUCAUGUCGCUUUCUCGCCCAUACACACGGUUGGAGAAUCAUCGACCUCGUCGAGCUUGACCUUGCAAGCAGCCUCGCUCGCCGUACAUGAUUUUUGUCUCCUGAGGAUUAAAUAAAAAGCUUGCUCAAAGGAAGCAUUUCCCAUCAGUGAAUUGGCUCAUUUCCUACUCAAAUACUCGCAGGCACUUGAUUCCUACAAGAAGUUUGAUUCAGACUUCAUUGCUAUUAGAAUGAAGGCAUAUGAGGUGUUGCACAGGGAGGAUGAUCUAAGUGAAAUUGUGCAGGGAGAAGGUCACAAUCAGGCACUGUAAAAGAAUUCUGAAUUAUUGUCUGUUAAACACUUCACAAGAUUCUGCAUCCGGGAAAUGGCUAGUCAUUAUCAUGCACCUUAGCAAGGAAUAGUAGACGGUAUGACAUGUAAAAAAGAUGCGUUGAAGUGGUUGGUGCUGCUCUCCUGAAAGAUGAUUGAUGGCUACCUCCUCCCGCUGGUGGGGCUCUAUCGCUGUAGUGCCCCGGUUGUUCACAGCCGCUACCCCAGGUCGUUCAGCAACACAGCGCUAAGUCGUUCGACGCCGCAGCUCGGGAGGUGCCCGCUUUUCCCCACCUCCCCCUGUAUGUUCAUCUCCUUCUCUUGUGUAUAUUUAGUUCAACAUCUCGUGAUUAUUCAGGUUACCUUAGUCGGCAUUCUCAGUUCAUCUUGCAGGUGAUUGAGCUCCCCUUUGGUUCAUCUUGGAGGUGUGUUUUUGGGCAGUACGAAUACAUUGCUAUAGUUAGUACAGAUGUGGCACCUUGCGGAGUACUAAAAAGACCAACUGCUUAGGAUUACUAUAAUGAGCUAAUAAUAAUAUUUGAGUCCUUCAGGAUCCUCUAGUUCUGGAUGUCCACCGCCACCCCCUUCAACCCCUAUUUCUUAAGGAGGCUCUCUGCUUGCCGCUCGGUUGUCCUCUAUUUGUUCUAAUUUCUUGCAAAUCAAGUUUAGUUUGAUGAUGGCUGUUGAAGAUUACAUUUGUGUGCUCUGAUUGAUUUAGUUUCUGAAUCUUGACUUGCUAAAAUGAACCUACUAUGUUUUCAAUCAAUUGAUGGAGUGCAGGAAAUCCAAAAAUGUCUUACUGUUUACUCCAUCAAUUCAUUGAGUUUCAGUCCAUAGGUUGCUCGUGAUCCUCGCUCCUUCAGCUCCACUUCGUCGGCGCCAUCAGUCCACAGAAGUAGGGGCGGCGUGCCCGUCAACAAACAAGAACAGAAGUUCUUCUUGUACAUCCGCCGCCAGCCCGGCGCCCCCGUGCGAUCCAUCAACCGCAGCCGAGAACCUCCGCCCCGCUUCCAUCGCCGGUUGUCGUCCCUCCACCCCUCCUCCUCCCACAACCAUGAUCUGGUUUCAGCAGCUGCCAUGAUGCAAUGUUGCUACUCCCUCCCUACAACAUGGACACAAACAAGCUAAUGGAUGAAAAAAUGAUUAUAGAUCAUUAUUGCUAUGAUCUGUAGUUUCUGUGAACUGAUAUUUGAGACUCUCUCCAGGCUCUGUAGCUUCUGUGAACGGAUAGUGCAGACUCAAUGAACUCUGUCCAUCUCGACUCUUGAACUGAUAGUAGAUAGUAGAGAAGAAUGUAGUGUUGCCUGUCAACUAUUGGUUUGGCCAGUUUCGAAUUUUGGCCUGGUUGAACUUUUGGUAGAGCAUCGGUUUGUUGUCAGUUCUAGUGCACUCAAGCAUAAGGAGGGUUUGACCUAUUAUCGAUGGAUCACUAUAACUUAACUUAUCAUGUCAGUUCUACUACGGCGCUCACGAAGGUACAAAUGUACUGAAUGUUCACACCAUUAAUCUUUUCAUUUUGUGAACAAACAUCAAUUCAGUAUGAAAAAGGAACAUAAUAAGUCAACUUUGCAAGUGCAUCUGUUCACCUUGAACAAAAUACAGAAGUGCACCAUCAAGUUUCCAUCAGUUCGCUUAUUAAAAAAACGGGAAAUUGGUUGUGUAAAGAAAACCUGAGAACCAAUGUCAGCUUAGAAGUUCAGUAGGUAACUCCACGCAAGUGCACUCGUUAGAAAAUUUGGGGUUUCCUAUAUUUUAUAGACUGCAGAAAUUUUGAGUUUUCUAUGUUUGCGUUACUUAACGUGUAUGUAUGAAGUAUUAAAUUCCAGUGCGAAAUUAGUUAAGUUCAUUACAAUUGGUACUAUGAAAUACAGUACGACAAGCAAUUCUUUUGAGUGUUUUUACACAACCAAUGAUGUUGGUAUUUCACUUCCAAGGAUGCAGUACUGUGGUAUAGCAAUUCAGUCACUAGAAAGAAGAUAAAUCAAUUCAAAAAUACUUGUCAUAAGUAGUUAAGAGUUUAUUUGUGGUGGUUACCAAUUCAAUAGCUAGAAAAAGGAUACAUCAGUUCUAAUAUACUUGCCAUAAGUAUUUAAGAGUUUAUUUGCGGUGGUUAAAAAUGAAGGUACUUUGUUCUGAGGACAAGAACUACUAGAAGUUCAAAUGCUGAUGUGUUAAAAAAAACUCCACCUACUUUGUUUAAGCAUUUGAUGUCUUAAUUUCUACACUUCCAUAUAGAAUUUGGUGGCUCACUUUUGCUAAUUUUCUGCAGUUCUUAGGUUAGAGAAGGUAUCAGUUCGCUUUGCAAAAACUAUGAAAUCUGCGUAUCACUUGGGGAUCAGGUUGAGGGGGGAAAUUCACCACAGAGAUACUAGUUCAUCUAUGUCGGUGCCAAUUGUCUCGCAGAGAUGGAAUAGAUUCUGGAGCCUGAACCUUCCACCUAAAGUUAGAAUGUUCCUUUGGCGGCUAGCAAAAACUUCUCUUCCACUGCGUAUGAACAUAAAGAGGAAACAUGUUGAUCUUGACACAAAAUGCCCUGUGUGCAUGAGACUAGAUGAGGAUGGUGGCCACCUGUUCCUAAAAUGCAAGAAGGUCAAGCAAGUUUGGAGAGAAUUACAGCUUGAGGAUGUCAGACUUGCCUUGCUUGAUUGUACUAAUCCGAUGGCAAUGUUUGAUCAAAUCUAGCUGCUUACACCUGACCGGAGGGACUUAGUGUUUUGCCUGCUCCGGGACUGGUGGAAUACAAGAAAUAGGGUGAACCAGGGAAAUAGGCCUCGUAAUUAUCUCGCGGGCACCCUCCAGGUCAACCCGUCUCCACAUCACUCGCGGGUACCCCUCAGGGUCGACCCGCCUUUCCAAGUAACAGUUGUAAAGUCCAAGUAUCCGUGUGUCCAAACAUAAAGGGGAAAACCCGAGGAAUCACCCCCGGUGAAUUCCACUCGAUGUAAU